Molecule: ribosomal RNA, 278 nt
Filed under: uncultured Pseudomonas sp.
Lineage: Bacteria; Pseudomonadati; Pseudomonadota; Gammaproteobacteria; Pseudomonadales; Pseudomonadaceae
Description: partial 16S ribosomal RNA
Rfam family: Bacterial small subunit ribosomal RNA
Source: RNAcentral
GUCCUUAGUUACCAGCACGUUAUGGUGGGCGACUCUAAGGAGACUGCCGGUGACAAACCGGAGGAAGGUGGGGAGUGACGUCAAGUCAUCAUGGCCCUUACGGCCUGGGCUACACACGUGCUACAAUGGUCGGUACAAAGGGUUGCCAAGCCGCGAGGUGGAGCUAAUCCCAUAAAACCGAUCGUAGUCCGGAUCGCAGUCUGCAACUCGACUGCGUGAAGUCGGAAUCGCUAGUAAUCGUGAAUCAGAAUGUCACGGUGAAUACGUUCCCGGGCCUU